Molecule: ribosomal RNA, 492 nt
Filed under: uncultured bacterium
Lineage: Bacteria
Description: partial 16S ribosomal RNA
Rfam family: Bacterial small subunit ribosomal RNA
Source: RNAcentral
AGUGAACGCUGGCGGUAGGCCUAACACAUGCAAGUCGAACGGCAGCACAGUAAGCGCUUGCUCUUACGGGUGGCGAGUGGCGGACGGGUGAGGAAUACAUCGGAAUCUAAUUUUUCGUGGGGGAUAUCGUAGGGAAACUUACGCUAAUACCGCAUACGACCUACGGGUGAAAUCAGGGGAUCUUCGGACCUUGCGCGAUUGUAUGAGCCGAUGUCGGAUUAGCUAGUUGGCGGGGUAAAGGCCCACCAAGGCGACGAUCCGUAGCUGGUCUGAGAGGAUGAUCAGCCACACUGGAACUGAGACACGGUCCAGACUCCUACGGGAGGCAGCAGUGGGGAAUAUUGGACAAUGGGCGCAAGCCUGAUCCAGCCAUACCGCGUGGGUGAAGAAGGCCUUCGGGUUGUAAAGCCCUUUUGUUGGGAAAGAAAAGCAGCAGGUUAAUACCCCGCUGUUCUGACGGUACCCAAAGAAUAAGCACCGGCUAACUUCGUG